Molecule: ribosomal RNA, 425 nt
Filed under: uncultured bacterium
Lineage: Bacteria
Description: bacterial SSU rRNA
Rfam family: Bacterial small subunit ribosomal RNA
Source: RNAcentral
GUGGGGAAUAUUGGACAAUGGGCGCAAGCCUGAUCCAGCCAUGCCGCGUGAGUGAUGAAGGCCCUAGGGUUGUAAAGCUCUUUCAGUGGGGACGAUAAUGACGGUACCCACAGAAGAAGCCCCGGCUAACUUCGUGCCAGCAGCCGCGGUAAUACGAAGGGGGCUAGCGUUGUUCGGAUUUACUGGGCGUAAAGCGCACGUAGGCGGAUCGUUAAGUCGAGGGUGAAAUCCUGGAGCUCAACUCCAGAACUGCCUUCGAUACUGGCGAUCUUGAGUCCGGAAGAGGUGAGUGGAACUCCUAGUGUAGAGGUGGAAUUCGUAGAUAUUAGGAAGAACACCAGUGGCGAAGGCGGCUCACUGGUCCGGUACUGACGCUGAGGUGCGAAAGCGUGGGGAGCAAACAGGAUUAGAAACCCGAGUAGUCC